This 1366-nucleotide long non-coding RNA is filed under the name Scleropages formosus (Asian bonytongue). RNAcentral's name for it is "lncRNA (ENSSFOG00015025003.1)". The record is from RNAcentral. Lineage: Eukaryota; Metazoa; Chordata; Actinopteri; Osteoglossiformes; Osteoglossidae.
AUGCUGAGCAUGACCAAGAAAAUGACGGCACAGAGAAUUCUGUCUGAAUAUCCAGCAGUUUCUUCAUUAAAAUUCAAAUUGGUUGAAAUUGUGUUUAUUGCGCUGCUACAAAUAACUAUAUAUUUGCUGGAUAAGCACAUAACUGAACUCGUGCAGAGCAAUAAAUAUGUAUUUUCAGAACCUGACGUUCUUGAUGAGGCACAUGCAGAAGCACCUGUGAAAGAAGAGGCAGAGACCCCCAAGGAGGUGCAAACGGGCCCUGUAGGGUCUCAAGAACAUGAGGCUCCUCAAGAAGAAAAGGAGAAAGCUCCUGAGAUUUCUGUAAAAGCACCUACAGAACAACCCAAACAGGAAGGUACUGUCUAGGUGUUUCUCCAGCGGUUCCCGUGUCAGUAAUUCAAUAGAGAAGUUAAUGUAAAUUGAUUUAAGUGAGUGUAGAUUAAACAUUCUCAGCAAAGUGAGGUGAAUGUGUUUUACAGAGCCUGCAGAGGAAGGUCAACCACAAGGUAGAAUACAUUAAAUCCACACUUUCUAUUUAGUCUCUCUGUCCAACUAUUGGUCUAAGUCUCACAUUUUACCACAAGAAUCACUAAAAUUUAAUGUUACGAUCACGGUACCAGGUGUUAAGAAGACAGAAGAACAUGAAAAGCUGGAAGAUGUAGAAGCAGCAGGGAAGAUGGGUUGGUCGAUUAUAUUACAAAUUAAAAUUAAAGCAAGGUUUCAUUUAAAGCUGCAUAUAUUGUACCGUAUAUAAACAUACAAGAAAAAGAUGAAAAUAGAGACUUCUGAGAUGAUUUGGUGUCCCUUGAUUGAGGGGUUCAUUGUUUUGUGGUGGCUUGUAUGUCCACUAAAGUCAAAACUGGAAAACCUGUCAUUUUUAAAAUGGCUAGUGAUAACCACGUUUGUUAAAUUGCCACCCUUUUGAAAACGCGAAAGAGAAUUCUAAUAACCCUCGGCAAUUUCAUCUUUUACAUGGGAGAUCUGUUUUUUUUUUUUUUUUUUUUUCUUUCAGAAGUACAGCCAGGACCCAGAGAAAUAGGUAAAGGUUUCAUUCAUAUGAAUUCAUGGUUCAUGCCAAAAAAAUGUUUUUAAAUAUUCAGAAAAACAACCUUUUGCAGAGCCGGAGAUUCAGAGGGAGGUGCAGAUGAAGCCCCAGCAGACUCAAGGUGAGGUUUACAUUUAUUUAGCACUUUUGUCCAAAGCAACUUCCAGUGAACUGUAUGUAGUGUUAUGAGCCCACACACCUUAUUCACCGCGGUGACUUACACUGCUAGAUACACUACAUACACUGGGUCACUCAUCCAUACAUCACUGGAACACACUCUCUCUGUCACUCACACACUGUGGGUGAACCUGAACAGCAUGU